CAGUAAGGUAUAGGAAAACUAAAUCAUAUAGUAACUGUGAUAUUUAAUAGUGGACCCUGUACAAUCCUACAUCUUAAGUCCUUACCUGCCUUCUAGACGGAAGCGGACAUAAAACCACUAUGAACACAACAAUCCUUCGUGAUGAAUACGUCUCUUAACAUUCACCCUUGCGAUAGACGAGCGCGAGACGUGGCUUACUAGUACGUUUUUCUAUACGAGUAAUCUGACCCCACUGUUCCAGGCGGUCGAAGCUACACUUUCCUAUGAAUCCAACGAGCUUUCUACAAACUACUGCACUGAGAAGAUGAUAGAUGGUUUAAUUUCUCCUAAUUCUUCUAUAUACGUUGUUGUUUUUCGACUUAAUUUCCUCUGUGUUUGUAGUUGUCUUCCUUUAUACCCUCCUUCGAAAAGUGUUUAUGAUACAAGCAUUACAAAUUUAAAAACGGAGUCUGUUGGAGGGAGAGUAUAAAUAACGUGACAAAUCUGUUCUUUAAACCUCUUUCACUUAUAUUCUAACCAAUACAAUAAAGUCGGGGAUAUAUUAUACACGUACACCGUGAGUUCAUAGUUUGGACGGCUAACAUGGAGAAUAAAAUCCCCGUGGAUGUCCAACAUCAAUCGCACUGAUCCAGACCGAUAAAGGAGG
Molecule: ribosomal RNA, 646 nt
Filed under: Triticum aestivum (bread wheat)
Lineage: Eukaryota; Viridiplantae; Streptophyta; Magnoliopsida; Poales; Poaceae
Description: partial small subunit ribosomal RNA
Source: RNAcentral